Phascolarctos cinereus (koala) is the source of this 1011-nucleotide long non-coding RNA. RefSeq lists it as uncharacterized. Lineage: Eukaryota; Metazoa; Chordata; Mammalia; Diprotodontia; Phascolarctidae. The record is from RefSeq and is a predicted model, not a curated record.
GACUCAGUAACCAGAGGGCCAACCCAAACUUGGGACCCAGGGGGUGAAGCUGCUAACUAGCAACCACAGAAAGAUAGCAAGAUCUACUUGGAAGGGGAUCCUGACUGAGGAUGAAAAGUCUCCAACACUGCUGUCACCCACAUCUGUUACUCAUGAAAGCAGAGCCUACGGUUUGAGUUUGAUGGAGAGAAAGUGACAUUUAUUGCUGAGGGUUUAUGGGACCAUUAAAGUGGUGAGCAGCCUGAGAUGCCUUUGCACAAGGCCCCUCACAGGAAACACAAACUCUGUGCAGAGAUGUGAAGUCUGGGCUCCCGGGAUAGAAGAAAGGCUACCAGGUCAUAUUUUCACAUAUGCUUGGGUGCCAGGGAGAUAGGCCAGCUAUUCCAGGAGGAGGGGAAGGUAUCUGGGCUCUAAAGCAUGUUUUUUCUUCUCUGCACACAGCCCCUCCAGUGUGCGAGGCAGCCCAGAGAUUUGCACUUGGCACCUUCUGAUUUCUAAGUCAAUACGUAGAUUCACAAGGCAAUGAGCAAAGAGCCCAGCAGUCAGCACAGCCCUGGGGCUGUGUGCAAGAGGCUGGCCUCGGGCAGUCGGGAAAGAGGGGAGGGAAGGGGGUGGGGCCUUUGCACUCAUUCUCCUGGUCCUUCUGCAAUAAAGGGGAGGAUACCAUUCUUUCCCUCCACCCCUGAAUCCAACCUUCCAGACUAUUCUUCCCCGGGGGGGAGGGGGCAACUUCAUAUCUGACCUCUAUCUGCCAGCCAUGGACCCCAACUGUGAUUGUGAAAGUGGCUGCUGCUCCUGCUGCCCAACAGGAUGUGCCAAGUGUGCCCAGGGCUGUGUCUGCAAAGCCCCCCACACCGAGAGUUGCAGCUGCUGCCACUGAUGCUCCUGUCUCCCUGCAUUUAUAAAUAGAGGAAUUUGUACAGAUCUAGCUUUUCAUACGCCAUAAAUGUGCUUUUUAUUUUGUUUCUAUGAAAUGUGUGAAUGGAAAUAAAACCGUUGCAUAUCCUUCUA